CGAUAUGAAGACAAUUUGGUUGCUGCAUCUAUCAUCUCAUUGUUUACCAAGAUUUAUGUGGUAAAUCUUGCUGGCAAAGACAGUUUUCCUCUUCUUUACAUGAUUCCUUACAUAUGUGUGUAACUCCAAAAGCUGUGCACUUGGUGGAAAAAUGGAGUCUUCUCAAAUAAACAGGACUAUUCUUCAAUCACUGGCAUUUCAGUAACUGUAAACCUUUGCUAGGACUUAAACAAAGAAACCUUUUUUAAAUGAGACCCCAAAGAGUGUCCUCAUACUUUUUUGUGAAGUAGGAAAAUACACAAAAGAAGCACAUGUUUAGCAGAAAAUGGACACUUGCCAGUCAUCAGAUUCA
Cricetulus griseus (Chinese hamster) is the source of this 352-nucleotide unclassified non-coding RNA. Its record names the gene 7SK. It matches the Rfam family "7SK RNA". Rfam says of the family: 7SK was discovered as an abundant small nuclear RNA in the mid-70s but a possible function has only recently been suggested. Two independent studies have found that 7SK RNA binds the CDK9/cyclin T complex (known as elongation factor P-TEFb). Lineage: Eukaryota; Metazoa; Chordata; Mammalia; Rodentia; Cricetidae. The record is from Ensembl.